This 492-nucleotide ribosomal RNA is filed under the name uncultured bacterium. Its description in RNAcentral is "partial 16S ribosomal RNA". It matches the Rfam family "Bacterial small subunit ribosomal RNA", at positions 29 to 507 of the family's 1533-position model. The record is from RNAcentral.
AGUGAACGCUGGCGGUAGGCCUAACACAUGCAAGUCGAACGGCAGCACAGUAAGAGCUUGCUCUUACGGGUGGCGAGUGGCGUAAGGGUGCGGAAUACAUCGGAAUCUACUUUUUCGUGGGGGAUAACGUAGGGAAACUUACGCUAAUACCGCAUACUACCUACGGGUGAAAGCAGGGGAUCUUCGGACCUUGCGCGAUUGAAUGAGCCGAUGUCGGAUUAGCUAGUUGGCGGGGUAAAGGCCCACCAAGGCGACGAUCCGUAGCUGGUCUGAGAGGAUGAUCAGCCACACUGGAACUGAGACACGGCCCAGACUCCUACGGGAGGCAGCAGUGGGGAAUAUUGGACAAUGGGCGCAAGCCUGAUCCAGCCAUACCGCGUGGGUGAAGAAGGCCUUCGGGCUGUAAAGCCCUUUUGUUAGGAAAGAAAAGCAGCAGGUUAAUACCCCGCUGUUCUGACGGUACCUAAAGAAUAAGCACCGGCUAACUUCGUG